GACGAACGCUGGCGGCGUGCUUAACACAUGCAAGUCGAACGAUGAAGAAGAGAAACGCGAACUUCGGUUCAAAUUUCACUUCGGAUUAGUGGCAGACGGGUGAGUAACGCGUGAGCAACCUACCUCUUACAAAGGGAUAGCCUCGGGAAACCGUGAUUAAUACCAUAUGACACAUUCAUAAGGCAUCUUAAGAAUGUUAAAGCUACGGCGGUAAGAGAUGGGCUCGCGUCCCAUUAGCUAGUUGGUGAGGUAACGGCCCACCAAGGCGACGAUGGGUAACCGGCCUGAGAGGGUGAACGGUCACAUUGGAACUGAGACACGGUCCAAACUCCUACGGGAGGCAGCAGUGGGGAAUAUUGCACAAUGGAGGGAACUCUGAAGCAGCGACGCCGGGUGAGCGAUGAAGGAAUUCGUUUCGUAAAGCUCUGUUCUAUGGGAAGAAAAGGACUGUACCAUAGGAGAAAGCCCCGGCUAAAUACGUG
This 482-nucleotide ribosomal RNA is filed under the name uncultured bacterium. Its description in RNAcentral is "partial 16S ribosomal RNA". It matches the Rfam family "Bacterial small subunit ribosomal RNA", at positions 28 to 507 of the family's 1533-position model. The record is from RNAcentral.